RNAcentral lists this small RNA (4193 nucleotides) under Pongo abelii (Sumatran orangutan). RNAcentral's name for it is "processed transcript". The record is from RNAcentral. Lineage: Eukaryota; Metazoa; Chordata; Mammalia; Primates; Hominidae.
GAGAGGCGGCGGCGGGGCGCUGGGGCGGAGACUGCGACCCGGAGCCGCCCGGACUGACGGAGCCCACUGCGGUGCGGGCGUUGGCGCGGGCGCGGAGGACCCGGGCAGGCAUCGCAAGCGACCCCGAGCGGAGCCCCGGAGCCAUGGCCCUGAGCGAGCUGGCGCUGGUCCGCUGGCUGCAGGAGAGCCGCCGCUCGCGGAAGCUCAUCCUGUUCAUCGUGUUCCUGGCGCUGCUGCUGGACAACAUGCUGCUCACUGUCGUGGUCCCCAUCAUCCCAAGUUAUCUGUACAGCAUUAAGCAUGAGAAGAAUGCUACGGAAAUCCAGACGGCCAGGCCAGUGCACACAGCCUCCAUCUCAGACAGCUUCCAGAGCAUCUUCUCCUAUUAUGAUAACUCGACCAUGGUCACUGGGAACGCUACCAGAGACCUGACACUUCAUCAGACCGCUACACAGCACAUGGUGACCAACGCGUCCGCUGUUCCUUCCGACUGUCCCAGUGAAGACAAAGACCUCCUGAAUGAAAACGUGCAAGUUGGUCUGUUGUUUGCCUCGAAAGCCACCGUCCAGCUCAUCACCAACCCUUUCAUAGGACUGCUGACCAACAGAAUUGGCUAUCCAAUUCCCAUAUUUGCGGGAUUCUGCAUCAUGUUUGUCUCAACAAUUAUGUUUGCCUUCUCCAGCAGCUAUGCCUUCCUGCUGAUUGCCAGGUCGCUGCAGGGCAUCGGCUCGUCCUGCUCCUCUGUGGCUGGUAGGUGUGGAAUGCCUGAGUGAGUUCGUGAGGGGCCCCUUGCAGAGUGAGCUGGACUCAUUCAGGGAAUUCAGGUAUUGGUGGUGGUUGGGGUGCUGGGGAUUCUUGGAGAAGGCACCCACUUUCCUCUUGGGUUCUGCUUGGUCUUACAUUUUAGUGAAUCUGACAGGUUUGGGAAGAUCACAAGGCUGGCUGGAGAGGGAAGGCGAGUCAUGCAUUAUUCUUUUGCUGUUCCCCGGAGCUGGCCUGUUGACCAUUUCUUUCCCUGUGUAGGGAUGGGCAUGCUUGCCAGCGUCUACACAGAUGAUGAAGAGAGAGGCAACGUCAUGGGAAUCGCCUUGGGAGGCCUGGCCAUGGGGGUCUUAGUGGGCCCCCCCUUCGGGAGUGUGCUGUAUGAGUUUGUGGGGAAGACGGCUCCAUUCCUGGUGCUGGCCGCCCUGGUGCUCUUGGAUGGAGCUAUUCAGCUCUUUGUGCUCCAGCCGUCCCGGGUGCAGCCAGAGGUAAGUGGCUGGGAAUGAGGGCCCUGGGGGAGGGGGCAUGGUGAUGCUUCUGACCCGUGUUUUUUUUCUUGACAGAGUCAAAAGGGGACACCCCUAACCACACUGCUAAAGGACCCAUACAUCCUCAUUGCUGCAGGCUCCAUCUGCUUUGCAAACAUGGGCAUUGCCAUGCUGGAGCCGGCCCUGCCCAUCUGGAUGAUGGAGACCAUGUGUUCCAGAAAGUGGCAGCUGGGCGUUGCUUUCUUGCCAGCUAGUAUCUCUUAUCUCAUUGGAACCAAUAUUUUUGGGAUACUUGCACACAAAAUGGGGAGGUGGCUUUGUGCUCUUCUGGGAAUGAUAAUUGUUGGAGUCAGCAUUUUAUGUAUUCCAUUUGCAAAAAACAUUUAUGGACUCAUAGCUCCGAACUUUGGAGUUGGUUUUGCAAUUGGAAUGGUGGAUUCAUCAAUGAUGCCCAUCAUGGGCUACCUCGUAGACCUGCGGCACGUGUCCGUCUAUGGGAGUGUGUACGCCAUUGCAGAUGUGGCAUUUUGUAUGGGGUAUGCUAUAGGUCCUUCUGCUGGUGGUGCUAUUGCAAAGGCAAUUGGAUUUCCAUGGCUCAUGACAAUUAUUGGGAUAAUUGAUAUUCUUUUUGCCCCUCUCUGCUUUUUUCUUCGAAGUCCACCUGCCAAAGAAGAAAAAAUGGCUAUUCUCAUGGAUCACAACUGCCCUAUUAAAACAAAAAUGUACACUCAGAAUAAUAUCCAGUCAUAUCCGAUAGGUGAUGAUGAAGAAUCUGAAAGUGACUGAGAUGAGACCCUCAAAAAUCAUCAAAGUGUUUAAUUGUAUAAAACAGUGUUUCCAGUGACACGACUCAUCCAGAACUGUCUUAGUCAUACCAUCCAUCCCUGGUGAAAGAGUAAAACCAAAGGUUAUUAUUUCUUUUCCAUGGUUAUGGUCGAUUGCCAACAGCCUUAUAAAGAAAAAGAAGCUUUUCUAGGGGUUUGUAUAAAUAGUGUUGAAACUUUAUUUUAUGUAUUUAAUUUUAUUAAAUAUCAUACAAUAUAUUUUGAUGAAAUAGGUAUUGUGUAAAUCUAUAAAUAUUUGAAUCCAAACCAAAUAUAAUUUUUUAACUUACAUUAACAAACAUUUGGGCAAAAAUCAUAUUGGUAAUGAGUGUUUAAAAUUAAAGCACACAUUAUCUCUGAGACUCUUCCAACAAAGAGAAACUAGAAUGAAGUCUGAAAAACAGAAUCAAGUAAGACAGCAUGUUAUAUAGUGACACUGAAUGUUAUUUAACUUGUAGUUACUAUCAAUAUAUUUAUGCGUUAAAGAGCUAGUUCCCUCAAGUGUAGAGGACAAGAACUUGUGUCAGUCAUCUUUUGAAUCCAUAAAUCUUAGCUGGCGUUAGUUUUCUAUGUAAUCAACUACCUAGAGAGAGUUGUAAAUUAUAUGUUAACAUGUUAUUUGGUUGGCAGCAAACACUAAAGCCAGUAAGGGAAAAACAGUAAAUGUUCUGAAAGCAGAGAAAAGCAACCAAACAUAUUGUUAUGAACUAAAAGCUUUCCCUUUAAGAUGCAUACUUGUCUUACUGGGUGAAGAAAAUUGAGGAUACAUGUACCUUAUACUGUCAAGGUUGUUUAAACAUGAUAAGGUUAAUCGCCAUCUACUUCAAGUUUUAGAAAAGGAAACAAGAGGCUAAAAACAGCUGCUCUGACUUCAAUAUCUGAACAUAUCUUUGAUCUGUUUGCAGAUCAUCCAAGUGUUUUCUAGGAAUAUAUUUAUUUUAGGUUGUCUGAAACGACUAUUUUUUAGACUCCUGAAAGUUGUUCACAUCAAUGUGAAGACAAAUUUUAAAUGAAAAUGAGGAGUGAAAUUAUGUCUUGAAUCAUAUGUUAAUAAGUAAAAAUAAUAGUGAUCAGGCAGAAAAGAAAAAUGGAACAUCUAAAAAUGUAUGUGCUAACUAUAUCAUCCAGUGUGCAGUGUCGUGUAUUUUUCUAAGCAUGACAACAUUGAUGUGCCUUUUCAGUGUAACAGCAAAUACUGUUAGUGAACAUUGUCAAUUUAUGUCAUUUUGUUAAGAGAUAUGACUGGAGUGUGCAGUGUGGAAUGUCUCUAAUAAUACUUGUGAAUCCUGCAGUUCUAUAAACAAAAAUUACUUAGUUUUGUUAAGCUAAGAUUGUGUUUGUGUUAACUUCGACAUCAAGGAGCAAAGAACUUUAGAACAAAGACUCCUCUAUCUUGUGACUUUCUUAUUCUCUAGGAAAGUAACACUUCGUUUCAUGAAGCUUUUCUGUGGGGCUUCGAUUAUUUCAAGUCUGGUUUCUAAGUGCAGUGUGUUUGAAGCAAACAAACUUCCAACUCACUUAUUUGGCAUUGGGCAACUUGGCCAAGUCUGCUACUUUGGAAGAUGGCUCUGGAGGAAACUCUCAUAUGGCUAAAAAGGCAGGCUAGUUUCUUACUUCUACAGGGGUAGAGCCUUAAAAAAGAAUGUGCUACAAAUUGGUUCUCUUUGAGGGUUUCUGGUUCUCCCUGGCCCCAAUACCAUAUACUUUAUUGCAAUUUUAUUUUUGCCUUUAUGGCUCUGUGUCUUUCUGCAAGAAGGCCUGGCAAAGGUAUGCCUGCUGUUGGUCCCUCGGGAUAAGAUAAAAUAUAAAUAAAACCUUCAGAACUGUUUUGGGAGCAAAAGAUAGGUUGUACUUGGGGAAAAAAAUUAUGUUCUUUUAUGACUAAUAUUCUUGGUUAGCAAGACUGAAAAGAGGUGUUUUUCUAAAAUGUACGUACCAGAACAAAGAACAUACAGCUCUCUGAACAUUUAUUUUUUGAAUAGAGGUGGUUUUUAUGUUUGUACCUGGUAAUACAGAUACAAAAACUUUAAUGAGGUAGCAAUGAAUAUUCAACUGUUUGACUGCUAAGUGCAUCUGUUCAUAUUUUAGCAAGUUUACUUAAUAAAUCUUCCGAACCAUG